GUAACCGGUCAUCCCAGUAGUAGUCUCCCAGGUGCGCCAUCCUGCUCGCAGCCCGAUCCCGGGCUAGGGCGCCGAAGAAGCUGGGGGAAGGCGGCACCCGAGCUGCACGGCGUGCUCAUGGGGGUGGAGGGACAGCGAGCCCCCCGGCGAUGAGACGGCCGCACUGGCUGUAUGAUGCGGUCGGUCUCCACCGGCUCCUUUUUCACUUCAAACUUCAUCAGAUCGAAGUCAUUAACAUAUUCCAUGGCCAGGGGACUGGUGGGCAGGUCGGAGUUGCUCAUCGCCAGUUCCGUUGCCAUCCUCCUGCCGCCGCCGCCGCCGCCGCCGCUCCGCCAGAUGGGCUGCAGGAGAGGGGCCAGCGGGCUGUGCUGGGCGGCGAGCGGCAAAAUCGCGAAGUCCUGGGGAAAGGCGAGGCAGAAGAGCCAAGGGGGAGGCCGAGCGGGUGAGCGGCCCGAGCUACAGCGCGAAGAUGAAAAAAGAUUUUAAAGCCUGUGAUCCAGCAAGAAGAGUUUAAAGCAAUUGCUGAGUUUUAUAGCACUCGUGACGUCAGGCCCAAAUGGGAAAUUGACUGGCACUCUGGGCCAAUGGCAGGCUGCGAGCGCGGCGGCGAUUAGCAUAAUAGUAUAGAAACAAGGAAACUUUUCGGAGCUGUCAAUCAGGGCCCAAUCAGCUGACUGUCAGCUGGGACGGGCUGGCUUAACCCUUGCCGCGCCGCGCUCCCCGGGCGCGCGAGCCAGGCCCCGCGCAAAGUUUAGCGCAAGAAGAGUAGGGGUUUUCAGAGGGACUGCGGGAGCUCGGGCGGGCCCGGGAGCACCGAUCGCUGCUCCUCUCGAGCGCGACAGGGGCCGGCCGGCCUUCCGGGGCCCCCCGCUCACCCUCUGCGGCCGGCGCUGGCACCCGCCGGACUCCCCGGCCCUGCCACCUCCCACCCAGUCCCCAGCGCCGCGCGUCGGCCUGGAGGCUUUUCCUCCUCGCUGCACCUCUGGCGUCCAGGUGUCGGCUGGGGGACCCUGCUUCCCUGGACAGCUCUGCGGUGCUCCGCGCUCAAACUUGGCUCCAACUCUGUCCCUCUCACGGUGUCGCCCGCAGGAGGAUCGAAGAGCGAGAACUAUUGUUGGACCUGGUUGGUUUGUGCCUCAACAGCGCCACCUUUCGGCAAAGGUCAGUGGACGGCGACGCGCGGCCGGUUCCGCCGCCGCGGGGAGAAGCUGCCUGCCCCGGGCGGGCCGGCGCGCAGAGUGGGUCCGCAGGCGGCGGGCGCGCAGAGUGGGUCCGCAGGCGGCGGGCGGCCCGGGCCUCGCACACAAGGGGCCGGAGACCCGGCUCGCAGGCCCCGGACCACAGCAGCCCGCGGGAGUCCUUGCGGCCGAGCCCUCUUGGCGCGCGUCCCCCCCAGCACCCCCCAGCACCCCGUCCCCCAGGGCCCCCCAACCCCACCCCAUCACCUCCCCAAUAACAGCCCUAGCCCAGAGCCGGGCUGGGUUUCCAGCGGGCUUCGCGGCGCUCUGGAGAGAAGUAAAGUUCUCUAACUCUGGGCGGUAA
Molecule: long non-coding RNA, 1542 nt
Filed under: Oryctolagus cuniculus (rabbit)
Lineage: Eukaryota; Metazoa; Chordata; Mammalia; Lagomorpha; Leporidae
Description: lncRNA (ENSOCUG00000034154.1)
Source: RNAcentral